UACGGAGGGUGCGAGCGUUGUUCGGAAUUAUUGGGCGUAAAGCGCACGUAGGCAGCCUGGUAAGUCUCACUGUGAAAGCCCGGGGCUCAACCCCGGGAGGCCAGGGGAUACUGCAAGGCUAGAGACAAGUAGAGGCUGGUAGAAUUCCGGGUGUAGCGGUGGAAUGCGUAGAGAUCCGGAGGAAUACCUGAGGCGAAGGCGGCCAGCUGGGCUUGAUCUGACGCUGAGGUGCGAAAGCGUGGGGAGCGAACAGG
This 254-nucleotide ribosomal RNA is filed under the name uncultured bacterium. Its description in RNAcentral is "partial 16S ribosomal RNA". It matches the Rfam family "Bacterial small subunit ribosomal RNA", at positions 524 to 776 of the family's 1533-position model. The record is from RNAcentral.